CCUACGGGAGGCUGCAGUAGGGAAUAUUGCUCAAUGGGGGAAACCCUGAAGCAGCAACGCCGCGUGGAGGAUGAAGGUCUUCGGAUUGUAAACUUCUUUUGUUAGAGAAGUUAAUGACGGUAUCUAACGAAUAAGCACCGGCUAACACCGUGCCAGCAGCCGCGGUACUACGGAGGGUGCAAGCGUUACUCGGAAUCACUGGGCGUAAAGAGCGCGUAGGCGGGAUAGCAAGUCAGAUGUGAAAUCCUAUGGCUUAACCAUAGAACUGCAUUUGAAACUGUUAUUCUAGAGUAUGGGAGAGGUAGGUGGAAUUCUUGGUGUAGAGGUGAAAUGCGUAGAGAUCAAGAAGAAUACUGAUUGCGAAGGCGGCCUGCUAGAACAUAACUGACGCUGAUGCGCGAAAGCGUGGGGAGCAAACAGGAUUAGAUACCCUUGUAGUC
Molecule: ribosomal RNA, 440 nt
Filed under: uncultured bacterium
Lineage: Bacteria
Description: partial 16S ribosomal RNA
Rfam family: Bacterial small subunit ribosomal RNA
Source: RNAcentral